UACGUAUUAGCUGCUAUUACAGUGGAACUGCGAAUAGCUCAUUAUAACAGUUAUAAUUUACACGACGUCAGCAACCAUAUGGAUAUCCUUGGUAAUUCUGGUGCUAAUACACGCCUGUUCUUUCCAGAACAGCUGCCAGAAAACUUCAACACUCUCUGUGUUCACAUGCAGUGUGAUGAUCAAACUGGCUCAGCCAAUCGCUCUUAGCGACAUGUCGUUCAAGUUUCUGACCUAUCAGCUCCCAUUAGUAAGGUAUUGGCUUACUCAGGCUGUGACGGGUAACGGGGAAUUGGGGUUCGAUUCCGGAGAGGGAGCCUUAGAAAUAGCUACCACAUCUAAGGAUGGCAGCAGGCGCGCAAAUUACCCAAUCCCGACUCGGGGAGGUAGUGACAAGAAAUAGCAACACGAGACCAUUGGUUUCGUGAUUGCAAUGAGUUAGAAACAAAUCAGCUAACGAGUAUCUAUUGGAGGGCAAGUCUGGUGCCAGCAGCCGCGGUAAUUCCAGCUCCAAGAGCAUAUAUUAAAAUUGUUGCAGUUAAAGCGUCCGUAGUUGAAACUAGUCCACGAGCCGUUGUACUGGAUUACCAGUUCACUGCUUUCGGACAUGAGAUGAGCAGUCAAAUGCUCCUUCUCGUUACCUUGAGUAAAUUGGAGUGUUCCAAUCAGAUUUCUGUCUGAACAGCUCAGCAUGGGAUAACCUAACACGACUUUGGUUGCAAAAUUGAGUUGCUGUAACCGAAAGUAAUAAUAUCAAGGGAUAUACGGAGGCAUUUGUACUUGCUGGAGAGAGGUGAAAUUCUGAGACCCUGCAAAGACAAACAAGUGCGAAAGCAUUUGCCUAGUGUAUGCCCUCUAAUCAAGGACGAAAGUUGGGGGAUCGAAGACGAUUAGAUACCGUCGUAGUCCCAACCAUAAACGAUGCCGACUGAGGAUCAGAGGCAGUUAAUUCACGUACGCCUUUGGCACUCAAAGAGAAAUCUAAGUCUUUGGGCCCUGGGGGGAGUAUGGUCGCAAGUCUGAAACUUAAAGGAAUUGACGGAAGGGCACCACCAGGAGUGGAGCUUGCGGCUUAAUUUGACUCAACGCGGGAAAUCUCACCAGGCCCGAACAUAAUAAUGAUUGACAGAUUAAGUGUUCUUUCUUGAUUCUAUGGGUGGUGGUGCAUGGCCGUUCUUAGUCGGUGAGGUGACUUGUCUGGUUAAUUCCGAUAACGGACGAGACCUCGACCCACUAAAUAGCCUUGGAGGUAUAUUCUUCAGAAGGCUUCUUAGAGGGACCUUGUGAGUUUAUCACACGGAAGCUCGAGACUAUAACAGGUCUGUGAUGCCCUUAGAUGGCCUGGGCUGCACGUGUGCUACAAUCGCACGGAGAUCAGGUUUAUUCUGCUCUGAAAAGAGUUGAUAAUCAUUUGAAACUGUUUGGUAUCUGGAAUUGACUCUUGUAAUUAUGAGUCAUAAACUAGGAAUUCCUAGUAAGGACAAGUCAUUACCUUGUGCUGAUUAUGUCCCUGCCCUUUGUACACACCGCCCGUCGCUUCAACCGAUUGGAUGAUCCGGCAAAUUGCAUGGACUGAUAUCUUCUGAUAUUUCUAUAUCUCAAGAGGUCGGGAAACGCCACGAGCAGGAUCCUGU
RNAcentral lists this ribosomal RNA (1631 nucleotides) under Gregarina kingi. RNAcentral's name for it is "SSU rRNA". It matches the Rfam family "Eukaryotic small subunit ribosomal RNA". Lineage: Eukaryota; Apicomplexa; Conoidasida; Eugregarinorida; Gregarinidae. The record is from RNAcentral.